RNAcentral lists this ribosomal RNA (274 nucleotides) under uncultured bacterium. RNAcentral describes it as "partial 16S ribosomal RNA". It matches the Rfam family "Bacterial small subunit ribosomal RNA", at positions 523 to 796 of the family's 1533-position model. The record is from RNAcentral.
AUACGGAGGGUGCAAGCGUUACUCGGAAUCACUGGGCGUAAAUCGCGCGCAGGCGGUCUUUUAAGUUGGAUGUGAAAGCCUACGGCUCAACCGUAGAACUGCAUCCAAAACUAUUAGACUAGAGUGUGGGAGAGGAAGAUGGAAUUAGUUGUGUAGGGGUAAAAUCCGUAGAGAUAACUAGGAAUACCAAAAGCGAAGGCAAUCUUCUGGAACACUACUGACGCUGAGGCGCGAAAGCGUGGGGAGCAAACAGGAUUAGAAACCCUAGUAGUCC